UACGUAGGGGGCAAGCGUUGUCCGGAUUUACUGGGUUUAAAGGGUGUGUAGGCGGGCUUUUAAGUCAGUGGUGAAAUCUCCGGGCUCAACCUGGAAACUGCCAUUGAUACUAUUAGUCUUGAAUUCUGUUGAGGUGGGCGGAAUAAGUCAUGUAGCGGUGAAAUGCAUAGAUAUGACUUAGAACACCAAUUGCGAAGGCAGCUCACUAAACAGAGAUUGACGCUGAGGCACGAAAGCGUGGGGAUCAAACAGG
RNAcentral lists this ribosomal RNA (253 nucleotides) under uncultured bacterium. RNAcentral describes it as "partial 16S ribosomal RNA". It matches the Rfam family "Bacterial small subunit ribosomal RNA", at positions 524 to 776 of the family's 1533-position model. The record is from RNAcentral.